UAGGGAAUCUUCCACAAUGGACGCAAGUCUGAUGGAGCAACGCCGCGUGAGUGAAGAAGGGUUUCGGCUCGUAAAGCUCUGUUGUUAAAGAAGAACAUGCAGGAGAGUAACUGUUCUUGUAUUGACGGUAUCUAACCAGAAAGCCACGGCUAACUACGUGCCAG
This 164-nucleotide ribosomal RNA is filed under the name uncultured bacterium. RNAcentral's name for it is "partial 16S rRNA". It matches the Rfam family "Bacterial small subunit ribosomal RNA", at positions 355 to 511 of the family's 1533-position model. The record is from RNAcentral.